UACGGGGGGGGCAAGCGUUGUUCGGAAUUACUGGGCGUAAAGGGCUCGUAGGCGGCCAACUAAGUCGGAUGUGAAAUCCCCAGGCUUAACCUGGGAACUGCAUCCGAUACUGGAUGGCUUGAAUUCGGGAGAGGGAUGCAGAAUUCCAGGUGUAGCGGUGAAAUGCGUAGAUAUCUGGAGGAACACCGGUGGCGAAGGCGGCAUCCUGGACCAAUUCUGACACUGAGGAGCGAAAGCCAGGGGAGCAAACGGG
RNAcentral lists this ribosomal RNA (253 nucleotides) under uncultured bacterium. Its description in RNAcentral is "partial 16S ribosomal RNA". It matches the Rfam family "Bacterial small subunit ribosomal RNA", at positions 524 to 776 of the family's 1533-position model. The record is from RNAcentral.